UAUGGCUUCAAUGACAUUGAUCAAAGGAGGACAUUGUGGAAGACAAUUCAGAACCUUGCUGCUGUUACUACUGACCCCUGGCUAAUAGCAGGAGAUUUCAAUGCCAUUAUGUCUAGUAAUGAUAGACAAUCAUGUCACCAAGUUAAACAAGUUGAGAUUGUAGAUUUUACCAAGUGCAUCCAGCAGGUUGGUCUGGCUGAACUCCCAUGGAAAGGGGAUUAUUUUACCUGGACCAAUAAACAAAGUGGCAAUGAUAGAGUGUGCAGCAGAUUGGAUAGAGUGUUUGGCAACUAUGAGUGGAACUCCCAUGGAAAGGGGAUUAUUUUACCUGGACCAAUAAACAAAGUGGCAAUGAUAGAGUGUGCAGCAGAUUGGAUAGAGUGUUUGGUAACUAUGAGUGGAUGAUUAAGUGGAGCCAUGUACACACUGUAUAUGGAGUGCCACUUAUUUCUGACCAUAAUCCCAUGUUGUUAACCCUGGAAGAAGAUAACAAUUUCAGGAAGACUCCCUUCAGGUUCUACAAUGCAUGGACUCAACAUAAGGAUUUCCAACUUCUGAUCUAAGGAUAACUGGAAUGGUAAUGC
Molecule: long non-coding RNA, 584 nt
Filed under: Nicotiana benthamiana
Lineage: Eukaryota; Viridiplantae; Streptophyta; Magnoliopsida; Solanales; Solanaceae
Description: long non-coding RNA (NBEN_LNC027468)
Source: RNAcentral